GACAGAGGGUGCAAACGUUGUUCGGAAUCACUGGGCGUAAAGGGCGCGUAGGCGGCUCGGUAAGCGUGUGGUGAAAGCCUGGGGCUCAACCCCGGGUCGGCCAUGCGAACUGUCGAGCUGGAGCACUGUAGAGGCAGGCGGAAUUCCGGGUGUAGCGGUGGAAUGCGUAGAGAUCCGGAAGAACACCGGUGGCGAAGGCGGCCUGCUGGGCAGUAGCUGACGCUGAGGCGCGACAGCGUGGGGAGCAAACAGG
RNAcentral lists this ribosomal RNA (253 nucleotides) under uncultured bacterium. RNAcentral's name for it is "partial 16S ribosomal RNA". It matches the Rfam family "Bacterial small subunit ribosomal RNA", at positions 524 to 776 of the family's 1533-position model. The record is from RNAcentral.